Molecule: ribosomal RNA, 254 nt
Filed under: uncultured bacterium
Lineage: Bacteria
Description: partial 16S ribosomal RNA
Rfam family: Bacterial small subunit ribosomal RNA
Source: RNAcentral
UACGUAGGGGCCUAGCGUUGUCCGGAUUUAUUGGGCGUAAAGAGCUCGUAGGCGGUUCGGUAAGUCAGGUGUGAAAUCUCCACGCUCAACGUGGAGGCGCCACCUGAAACUGCCGUGACUCGAGUCCGGUAGGGGAGUGUGGAAUUCCCGGUGUAGCGGUGAAAUGCGCAGAUAUCAGGAGGAACACCAACGGCGAAGGCAGCUCGCUAGGACGGUACUGACGCUGAGACGCGAAAGCGUGGGGAGCGAACAGG